This 492-nucleotide ribosomal RNA is filed under the name uncultured bacterium. RNAcentral's name for it is "partial 16S ribosomal RNA". It matches the Rfam family "Bacterial small subunit ribosomal RNA", at positions 29 to 507 of the family's 1533-position model. The record is from RNAcentral.
AGUGAACGCUGGCGGUAGGCCUAACACAUGCCAGUCGAACGGCAGCACAGUAAGAGCUUGCUCUUACGGGUGGCGAGUGGCGGACGGGUGAGGAAUACAUCGGAAUCUACUUUUUCGUGGGGGAUAACGUAGGGAAACUUACGCUAAUACCGCAUACGACCUACGGGUUAAAUCAGUGGAUCUUCGGACCUUGCGCGAUUCAAUGAGCCGAUGUCGGAUUAGCUAGUUGGCGGGGUAAAGGCCCACCAAGGCGACGAUCCGUAGCUGGUCUGAGAGGAUGAUCAGCCACACUGGAACUGAGACACGGUCCAGACUCCUACGGGAGGCAGCAGUGGGGAAUAUUGGACAAUGGGCGCAAGCCUGAUCCAGCCAUACCGCGUGGGUGAAGAAGGCCUUCGGGUUGUAAAGCCCUUUUGUUGGGAAAGAAAAGCAGCAGGUUAAUACCCCGCUGUUCUGACGGUACCCAAAGAAUAAGCACCGGCUAACUUCGUG